CCCGACUUCGGAAGGGAUGUGUUUAUUAGAUAAAAAACCAAUGCCCUUCGGGGCUUUUUGGUGAUUCAUGAUAACUUUACGGAUCGCAUAGCCUUGCGCUGGCGACGGUUCAUUCAAAUUUCUGCCCUAUCAACUUUCGAUGGUAAGGUAUUGGCUUACCAUGGUUUCAACGGGUAACGGGGAAUUAGGGUUCGAUUCCGGAGAGGGAGCCUGAGAAACGGCUACCACAUCCAAGGAAGGCAGCAGGCGCGCAAAUUACCCAAUCCCGACACGGGGAGGUAGUGACAAUAAAUACUGAUACAGGGCUCUUUUGGGUCUUGUAAUUGGAAUGAGUACAAUUUAAACCUCUUAACGAGGAACAAUUGGAGGGCAAGUCUGGUGCCAGCAGCCGCGGUAAUUCCAGCUCCAAUAGCGUAUAUUAAAGUUGUUGCAGUUAAAAAGCUCGUAGUUGAAACUUGGGUCUGGCUGGCGGGUCCGCCUCACCGCGUGCACUCGUCCGGCCGGGCCUUCCUUCUGAAGAACCUCAUGCCCUUUACUGGGCGUGUUGGGGAAUCAGGACUUUUACUUUGAAAAAAUUAGAGUGUUCAAAGCAGGCCUUUGCUCGAAUACGUUAGCAUGGAAUAAUAAAAUAGGGCGUGCGUUUCUAUUUUGUUGGUUUCUAGAGACGCCGCAAUGAUUAACAGGAACAGUCGGGGGCAUCAGUAUUCAGUUGUCAGAGGUGAAAUUCUUGGAUUUACUGAAGACUAACUACUGCGAAAGCAUUUGCCAAGGAUGUUUUCAUUAAUCAGUGAACGAAAGUUAGGGGAUCGAAGACGAUCAGAUACCGUCGUAGUCUUAACCGUAAACUAUGCCGACUAGGGAUCGGGCGAUGUUCUUUUUCUGACUCGCUCGGCACCUUACGAGAAAUCAAAGUU
Molecule: ribosomal RNA, 914 nt
Filed under: Bipolaris sorokiniana
Lineage: Eukaryota; Fungi; Ascomycota; Dothideomycetes; Pleosporales; Pleosporaceae
Description: SSU rRNA
Rfam family: Eukaryotic small subunit ribosomal RNA
Source: RNAcentral